AAGUUAACGUCAAUGAUAAUGAGUAUUAAUCAUUACCCUUUCUUCACAAUUGAAAGUGCUUUACAACCCUCAGGCCUUCUUCACACACGCGGCAUUGCUGGAUCAGGCUUGCGCCCAUUGUCCAAUAUUCCCC
Molecule: ribosomal RNA, 133 nt
Filed under: uncultured bacterium
Lineage: Bacteria
Description: partial 16S ribosomal RNA
Source: RNAcentral